Small nucleolar RNA from Ictidomys tridecemlineatus (thirteen-lined ground squirrel), 130 nucleotides. Lineage: Eukaryota; Metazoa; Chordata; Mammalia; Rodentia; Sciuridae. The record is from Ensembl.
AUUGUGGUAAGUUUUAAAACUAAGCUGAUUCUGCUGUAUCUGUGACAUCUGGGCAAAGAGCAAGUGGCUGUUUCUAUGCUCUGUGUUCAGAAACCAGUGAGCACUAAGAAUGGUUUAUAGCCUCACAUUU